CUUUUCGUAGCUCAGUGGUAGAGUAAUGGUUCAGAAAGCCAGGGAUCCAGAUCCAAUUUCCGGCGAGAACG
RNAcentral lists this transfer RNA (71 nucleotides) under Agrilus planipennis (emerald ash borer). It matches the Rfam family "tRNA". Rfam says of the family: Transfer RNA (tRNA) molecules are approximately 80 nucleotides in length. Their secondary structure includes four short double-helical elements and three loops (D, anti-codon, and T loops). Further hydrogen bonds mediate the characteristic L-shaped molecular structure. tRNAs have two regions of fundamental functional importance: the anti-codon, which is responsible for specific mRNA codon recognition, and the 3' end, to which the tRNAs corresponding amino acid is attached (by aminoacyl-tRNA synthetases). tRNAs cope with the degeneracy of the genetic code in two manners: having more than one tRNA (with a specific anti-codon) for a particular amino acid; and 'wobble' base-pairing, i.e. permitting non-standard base-pairing at the 3rd anti-codon position. Lineage: Eukaryota; Metazoa; Arthropoda; Insecta; Coleoptera; Buprestidae. The record is from Rfam by way of RNAcentral.